UUAAUUUAAAAGACAGUAGUUAAACUCUACUAUUAAGGA
RNAcentral lists this transfer RNA (39 nucleotides) under Diadema antillarum. Its description in RNAcentral is "partial tRNA-Lys". The record is from RNAcentral. Lineage: Eukaryota; Metazoa; Echinodermata; Echinoidea; Diadematoida; Diadematidae.